RNAcentral lists this transfer RNA (56 nucleotides) under Kaempferia sp. D40. RNAcentral describes it as "partial tRNA-His". The record is from RNAcentral. Lineage: Eukaryota; Viridiplantae; Streptophyta; Magnoliopsida; Zingiberales; Zingiberaceae.
GGGGGAGGUACCCAAGGGGAUUAGGGCAGGGGAUUGGAAACCCCCCCUUGCGCGAA